RNAcentral lists this ribosomal RNA (364 nucleotides) under Macdunnoa nipawinia. Its description in RNAcentral is "partial 12S ribosomal RNA". The record is from RNAcentral. Lineage: Eukaryota; Metazoa; Arthropoda; Insecta; Ephemeroptera; Heptageniidae.
CCCUAUUAUUCCAGAUGUUAAGUAGAAACCAGAGUAGUAAUAGUUAUGUUCUUGAAACUCAAAGAAUUUGGCGGUGUUUUAGUCCGUUCAGAGGAACCUGUCCCAUGAUCGAUAAUCCACGUUAGACUUAACUUAGGUUUAUUUAGCUUGUAUACCGCCGUCGAAAGAGGAAUUCAGAAGAAUCCCCUCCAACUUCUCUAGUAAGAUAGAUGUCAGGUCAAGGUGCAGUUGAUACUUAAGGGGAGAUGGGUUACAAUAAGGAUACUUAAACGGAGAUUCACAGGAAGGUAUGAAUUAGAAGGUGGAUUUGAAUGUAAUUGGGUUUAAAUUUAAACCCAUGAAAUAGGCUCUAAAACAAGCACAC